UGCGUAGGCGGACUACUAAGUCAGUGGUGAAAUCUUUCGGCUCAACCGAGAAACUGCCAUUGAUACUGUUAGUCUUGAGUUCGGUUGAGGUAGGCGGAAUGUGUAAUGUAGCGGUGAAAUGCUUAGAUAUUACACAGAACACCAAUUGCGUAGGCAGCUUACUAGACCGACACUGACGCUGAGGCACGAAAGCGUGGGGAGCGAACAGGAUUAGAUACCCUGGUAGUC
RNAcentral lists this ribosomal RNA (228 nucleotides) under uncultured bacterium. Its description in RNAcentral is "partial 16S ribosomal RNA". It matches the Rfam family "Bacterial small subunit ribosomal RNA", at positions 568 to 795 of the family's 1533-position model. The record is from RNAcentral.